UAGAAAUGAUGGACGUGUUUGAGGUAU
Molecule: non-coding RNA, 27 nt
Filed under: Mus musculus (house mouse)
Lineage: Eukaryota; Metazoa; Chordata; Mammalia; Rodentia; Muridae
Source: RNAcentral